GCGGGUAUGGUUCAGUGGCAGAACGAGACCUUCCCAAGGUUUAGACACGGGUUCGAUUCCCGUUACCCGCU
Molecule: transfer RNA, 71 nt
Filed under: Patescibacteria group bacterium
Lineage: Bacteria
Description: tRNA-Gly
Rfam family: tRNA
About the family: Transfer RNA (tRNA) molecules are approximately 80 nucleotides in length.
Source: RNAcentral